RNAcentral lists this ribosomal RNA (253 nucleotides) under uncultured bacterium. RNAcentral describes it as "partial 16S ribosomal RNA". It matches the Rfam family "Bacterial small subunit ribosomal RNA", at positions 524 to 776 of the family's 1533-position model. The record is from RNAcentral.
UACGUAGGGUGCAAGCGUUGUCCGGAAUUAUUGGGCGUAAAGAGCUCGUAGGCGGUCUGUCGCGUCUGCUGUGAAAAUCCAGGGCUUAACCCCGGGCCUGCAGUGGGUACGGGCAGACUAGAGUGCGGUAGGGGAGACUGGAAUUCCUGGUGUAGCGGUGAAAUGCGCAGAUAUCAGGAGGAACACCGGUGGCGAAGGCGGGUCUCUGGGCCGUAACUGACGCUGAGGAGCGAAAGCAUGGGGAGCGAACAGG